UCCUUACUGGGGAUUUUAUUUUAUUUUAUUUUUUAAGAAAAGCAGGAUUAUUUCUCUGAUGAGAACUACUUUUUGCCUACAGGUCAGAUGAACAGCACAACACACAGCUCUGAACAAUAUCUGAGGCAACUUCAGUGAAGCAUGAUUGGCAGGAAUUAUUUAAUUGGAUAACAACAAGAAGAGAAGAAGAGCAAGAGCUAAGCAAUGUUUUACUUUCAUGGUGCCAAACUGUGGAGUGCAGAAGUCCUUGAGAAACCCUGCCACUGCAAGUCAAACCACAUACUGUUCUGGGACAGAACACAAUGCUUGCCUCUCUUUGGGAGAGUUGCACAGCCACCAGGUGAAGGGUCCCAAUGCUUUUGCUCAUCUACAACGAGGCAGCAGACUGAGAGGUCCCAAUAAAAUGAUGGAGACUCAUCCAGUCACAUAACAUGGUCCCCCUGUCCCCCUGGGACAGACAGUGGGGGGGGGGGGGAUCUUGCUGUUCUCGGAGACGUGAAGGAAAGUGCACAAGGGCCAGGGAUAUUGCUUCUGUGGGACGGAUCUUCAUCUCUGCUUUCCCUUCAUGUCUGCCCUUAAAGUGUUAACCACAGGAGUGAAAAAGAGCAUUGAUAUUUAAACAUGAGGAGGAGAGAAAGGAGUUCAUUGCAAGCCUGUUGUCCUCUGUGAAUGCUCUUACUUUCCAGCUGCUGUUAGUGGCCUCCCUUCCAUUUCUUUGCUCUUCUGUCAUGCUGUUUCAAGACAAUAACCUGCAGUUCUACACAUAUAAAUACAGAAAAGAGUCAGCUAGAAGAAACCUCAUUUUAUGAGGACUCUGGUUUCAGGAAAACUAUGAGUAUCCCUAAUGCUUUUCAGGAACCAUAAGCUGAGAAAAGGCCUAUUUUCUGGAACCCAGAUAGGCAGAGCAUAAGUAACAUGCCAGCUUGCUCAGCCCUUCCAAGUCUUCAUGGGAGACUUCAGGCUCCUGAGAAAGUUUCAUAAAUAAAAUCUCCCCUGGAGUUUAAGGCCA
RNAcentral lists this long non-coding RNA (1009 nucleotides) under Anas platyrhynchos platyrhynchos (common mallard). RNAcentral describes it as "lncRNA (ENSAPLG00000029687.1)". The record is from RNAcentral. Lineage: Eukaryota; Metazoa; Chordata; Aves; Anseriformes; Anatidae.